This 1362-nucleotide ribosomal RNA is filed under the name Bacillus subtilis group sp. Its description in RNAcentral is "bacterial SSU rRNA". It matches the Rfam family "Bacterial small subunit ribosomal RNA", at positions 30 to 1374 of the family's 1533-position model. The record is from RNAcentral. Lineage: Bacteria; Bacillati; Bacillota; Bacilli; Caryophanales; Bacillaceae.
UAACCGUUGCCGGCGUGCCUAAUACAUGCAAGUCGAGCGGACAGAUGGGAGCUUGCUCCCUGAUGUUAGCGGCGGACGGGUGAGUAACACGUGGGUAACCUGCCUGUAAGACUGGGAUAACUCCGGGAAACCGGGGCUAAUACCGGAUGGUUGUUUGAACCGCAUGGUUCAAACAUAAAAGGUGGCUUCGGCUACCACUUACAGAUGGACCCGCGGCGCAUUAGCUAGUUGGUGAGGUAACGGCUCACCAAGGCAACGAUGCGUAGCCGACCUGAGAGGGUGAUCGGCCACACUGGGACUGAGACACGGCCCAGACUCCUACGGGAGGCAGCAGUAGGGAAUCUUCCGCAAUGGACGAAAGUCUGACGGAGCAACGCCGCGUGAGUGAUGAAGGUUUUCGGAUCGUAAAGCUCUGUUGUUAGGGAAGAACAAGUACCGUUCGAAUAGGGCGGUACCUUGACGGUACCUAACCAGAAAGCCACGGCUAACUACGUGCCAGCAGCCGCGGUAAUACGUAGGUGGCAAGCGUUGUCCGGAAUUAUUGGGCGUAAAGGGCUCGCAGGCGGUUUCUUAAGUCUGAUGUGAAAGCCCCCGGCUCAACCGGGGAGGGUCAUUGGAAACUGGGGAACUUGAGUGCAGAAGAGGAGAGUGGAAUUCCACGUGUAGCGGUGAAAUGCGUAGAGAUGUGGAGGAACACCAGUGGCGAAGGCGACUCUCUGGUCUGUAACUGACGCUGAGGAGCGAAAGCGUGGGGAGCGAACAGGAUUAGAUACCCUGGUAGUCCACGCCGUAAACGAUGAGUGCUAAGUGUUAGGGGGUUUCCGCCCCUUAGUGCUGCAGCUAACGCAUUAAGCACUCCGCCUGGGGAGUACGGUCGCAAGACUGAAACUCAAAGGAAUUGACGGGGGCCCGCACAAGCGGUGGAGCAUGUGGUUUAAUUCGAAGCAACGCGAAGAACCUUACCAGGUCUUGACAUCCUCUGACAAUCCUAGAGAUAGGACGUCCCCUUCGGGGGCAGAGUGACAGGUGGUGCAUGGUUGUCGUCAGCUCGUGUCGUGAGAUGUUGGGUUAAGUCCCGCAACGAGCGCAACCCUUGAUCUUAGUUGCCAGCAUUCAGUUGGGCACUCUAAGGUGACUGCCGGUGACAAACCGGAGGAAGGUGGGGAUGACGUCAAAUCAUCAUGCCCCUUAUGACCUGGGCUACACACGUGCUACAAUGGACAGAACAAAGGGCAGCGAAACCGCGAGGUUAAGCCAAUCCCACAAAUCUGUUCUCAGUUCGGAUCGCAGUCUGCAACUCGACUGCGUGAAGCUGGAAUCGCUAGUAAUCGCGGAUCAGCAUGCCGCGUAUUGACCUGUCCA